Long non-coding RNA from Ctenopharyngodon idella (grass carp), 1076 nucleotides. RefSeq lists it as uncharacterized. The transcript is spliced from 3 exons. Lineage: Eukaryota; Metazoa; Chordata; Actinopteri; Cypriniformes; Xenocyprididae. The record is from RefSeq and is a predicted model, not a curated record.
UAUUACGCUGGUUGCCAGCCGCCGUUAAACCCAAGAAGAAGAAGACCUUAGGUCCCGCCCACUGGUAUUCAGUCACAUAAUGACUGACACCUAUCUACACUAGAUGCGAGCGUUGCGUCUCGUCAAAAGCAAAUAAAGCAGUUAUAAUCACUAACGCUGUCUACACUGGAUACAGUAUACAGAUGCCUGUUUAGUUUCUGACAUAGGCUACUCCAACGUUCGCUUUGACGAUUCGACUUAAAAAGGACACCCGCGUCAGGAACAAGUGCAUAAUUUAUUUUUAAUGGCGUCCCGGAUCGCAUCAGACUUGGAGGAUUAUAUGUUUGUUUGGAGCAUUUGACAGCUGAUUGUUUUGUAAACGAGGCAGAGUGUAGGCUAAUGCGUGUUUCGCAAAGAAACCUUGUUGAAAGAUGAAGCAGCCAACUGACAGCAGCCAUGUCGCAAACCGUGACGGUGGAUGCAAUGUGACUCCUGAUUAGUUGCUCUGGCAACCUCCGGGAACGUUCACUGGUGGCCAUGGCAACGGCUGAAGCAUGGCGAUGGAACCAGGCUGAUUAUUUCGAUUUAGAACGGGAAUGAGAAUUCGGAGGUGGCUUGGCAUACCACAACGUCAUCAACGGAGAUGUUGCUUGUCAAUAAUACUGAAGCUUGACUGUACGUCUUGCGCUGACCAGCCGACAGCUGCACUGGCCCCAUCUGUCCAAGUCUGUCUAACACACACACACAAACACACACACACACAUUUACACAAACUGAUUAGCAACGUUUUCAAUUUCUUUCUCUGUAUAAACAAAGACACUCUACAAAACACUGAAAAGCAUUUGCUUUCUUCUUCCUGUGCCACUAUCACUUAUCAUUUUACACACACACAUACAUAACAUACUGUACAUACACUGAGUGUGCAUGUGUUUUAAUGUCUAACAAAAGGCCAGUGUGUUUGAGAUCUUGGGAAUCAUGCACAGCCGGAAAAUAAUGUUUCACGCUGGCUUUGGAACAAGCAGCAAAAUGACAGAAGCUACUACUGUAUGAAUAUGUUUAUGUGUUCUAUUCUAUAUACAAGAGCAGAGUUCAAAAUU